RNAcentral lists this ribosomal RNA (483 nucleotides) under uncultured bacterium. RNAcentral's name for it is "partial 16S ribosomal RNA". It matches the Rfam family "Bacterial small subunit ribosomal RNA", at positions 29 to 507 of the family's 1533-position model. The record is from RNAcentral.
AGUGAACGCUGGCGGCAGGCCUAACACAUGCAAGUCGAGCGGCAGCGCGGGGGCAACCCUGGCGGCGAGCGGCGGACGGGUGAGGAAUUCGUCGGAAUCUGCCUUUUUGUGGGGGAUAACGUGGGGAAACUUACGCUAAUACCGCAUACGUCCUACGGGAGAAAGUGGGGACCGCAAGGCCUCACGCAGAAAGAUGAGCCGACGACCGAUUAGCUAGUUGGUGGGGUAAAGGCCCACCAAGGCGACGAUCGGUAGCUGGUCUGAGAGGAUGAUCAGCCACACUGGGACUGAGACACGGCCCAGACUCCUACGGGAGGCAGCAGUGGGGAAUAUUGGACAAUGGGCGCAAGCCUGAUCCAGCCAUGCCGCGUGUGUGAAGAAGGCCUUCGGGUUGUAAAGCACUUUUGUCCGGAAAGAAAUCCCUGGAGCUAAUACCUUCGGGGGAUGACGGUACCGGAAGAAUAAGCACCGGCUAACUUCGUG